GGCGAUGUAGCUCAGGCGGUUAGAGCACUGGUUUCAUAAGCCGGGGGUCGCUGGUUCAAGUCCAGCCAUCGCCACCA
Molecule: transfer RNA, 77 nt
Filed under: Deltaproteobacteria bacterium
Lineage: Bacteria; Pseudomonadati; Myxococcota; Myxococcia
Description: tRNA-Met
Rfam family: tRNA
About the family: Transfer RNA (tRNA) molecules are approximately 80 nucleotides in length.
Source: RNAcentral